Molecule: long non-coding RNA, 1583 nt
Filed under: Anas zonorhyncha (Eastern spot-billed duck)
Lineage: Eukaryota; Metazoa; Chordata; Aves; Anseriformes; Anatidae
Description: lncRNA (ENSAZOG00000001655.1)
Source: RNAcentral
GCAUACCAUAAGACCUUACGGCACAUAGAAACUUAACAGUGAAAAUAAAAAGGCAGCAAUGAGAUGCUGAACAAGACACAGUAAGUUUUUGUUUGUUUGUUUGUUUUCUGCUCUCAUUAAAGAAUUUGUUCAAAAUAAUUUUAUCUGAAUGGAGGAGUGCGAUGAGGGGAGCUUGACUAAAGGUUGAACGUUCAUUUCCUGACACUGUUGAAUGUUCUGAAGUCUUUUGCCAUCAUGCACUGGAAUUAAAUAAAGUACUUUAUGAUGUAUUCUCAGAAGUUGACUGUGUCAAAAUGUCUCUUUCCAGACUAAAUCAUGCACUCUGUAGAAAAUACACACAGCAUAUUUCCUUGUGGCUGGAGCUCUGUGCUGCUAAAAAGCCCCGUGCCUGCCCUUGUUGUCUCUGCCUUAGAAUGUGGGUUACUGUCACAGGCUGCUCUGAGCCAGGGAGGACAGGAGGUUGAAUUUGUUUCUCGUACACAGAAGUAGGAGUAUCACAUUAAGUGAUUACUUGAGAAAACCUGUUUCGCCAAGCAAAAAUCAGUGAGGUUUUGACACAGUGCGCUUUAGGACAGUGACCACUAGCACCCACUUUAUGCUCACACCAUUUGUGUAAGCUAUUAGCUUGUUUCUGAAAGAACAGCUCUCUGCUGAAGCUCUCUAAUGAAAGUAGGAAACAAAUGCAUUUUCUUUAGUCUGGGCAUUUUUCAGUGAAGAAAUAAAUAAAAGUUUUACAAUUCUUUUUCAUGGCAGGCCACCAGAUUUGGUUUAUUUUGUAUAUAUUUAUGUGCAUACAUCAAUAUGAGAUAAAUAAGGUGCCAGAAGUGGACCUUACCACAGAAGCAUGCCUGUCUUAAGUCCACAGAGCAGCAAGAGAGUUCCUACCCUCAGUAAACAGUCCACCUCACUAUCCAAUCGUCCAGACCACAAUCUUAGCUGCAAGGAUGCUGUGGGAGAUGGUGUCAAAGGCUUUACUGAAAUCAAAAUAUGCCACGUCCACUGCCUCUCCAUCAUCUAUCCAUCCGGUUAUAUCCUCAUAAAAGGCUAUCAGGUUGGUCAAGCAUGGCUUCCCCUUGGUGAAGGCAUGUUGACUGUCCCUAAUGACCUUUUUAUCUUUGAUAUGUCUAGGAACAACUGUCGUGGUUCCGCUCGAGUGGGCAGCCGAGCUCCACCACAGCCGCUCUCUCACUCCCCCUCCUCAAAGAGGAAUGGGGAGAAAAUAUGUGAAAGGGGCUCAAGGAUUGAGAUAAGGACGAGAAAAUCACGCAAUAAUUAGUGUAACGGGCAAACCAGACUCAGCAUAAGAAGACAGAUAGUAAGAUUUAUUGCUCAUUACUAACAAGCUAGAGAAGUGAGAAACAAAGGAAAGAAACCAAAAGCACCUCCCCCCCCAUCCACCCUCUUCCACCUCCUCCCCCCGAGCGGCGCAGGGGAACGGGGGAAUGGGGGUUAUGGUCAGUCUACAGCACUUCUUCUCUGCCGCUCCUUCUCGGUCACUCUCGUCCCCUGUGCUGUGGGGUCCCACCCACGGGAUGCAGUCCUUGACGAACUGAUCCGGCGUGGGCUUCCCACAGGCAGCAGCU